RNAcentral lists this ribosomal RNA (406 nucleotides) under uncultured bacterium. RNAcentral's name for it is "bacterial SSU rRNA". It matches the Rfam family "Bacterial small subunit ribosomal RNA", at positions 29 to 429 of the family's 1533-position model. The record is from RNAcentral.
AACGAACGCUGGCGGCGUGCUUAACACAUGCAAGUCGAACGUGAAAGGCUUCGGCCGAGUAAAGUGGCGCACGGGUGAGUAACGCGUGGGUAAUCUGCCCUUGGGCGGGGGAUAACCUCUCGAAAGGGGGGCUAAUACCGCAUGAGACCACGGCUUCUCGGGGCUGUGGGAAAAGGUGGGUCGCAAGGCCUGCCACCUGAGGAUGAGCCCGCGUACCAUUAGGUUGUUGGUGGGGUAAUGGCCUACCAAGCCGAAGAUGGUUAGCUGGUCUGAGAGGACGAUCAGCCACACUGGGACUGAGACACGGCCCAGACUCCUACGGGAGGCAGCAGUGGGGAAUAUUGCGCAAUGGGGGAAACCCUGACGCAGCAACGCCGCGUGUGUGAAGAAGGCCUUCGGUCGUAAG